Triticum dicoccoides is the source of this 950-nucleotide long non-coding RNA. RefSeq lists it as uncharacterized. NCBI's taxonomy places the organism in Eukaryota, Viridiplantae, Streptophyta, Magnoliopsida, Poales, Poaceae. The transcript is spliced from 2 exons. The record is from RefSeq and is a predicted model, not a curated record.
UCUUUCCGACACAUAAAAUGAAAUCCUCUUUCCCAUUCACGCUUUCACACAUACACAUGUUGCUCUUGGUCUUGCCCUUGCCCGAUCCCCUUUCUCACUCCAAAAUUUCUGCUUCCGGUAGCUCCCAUCAGCUUGAUUCCUUGAUUCCCUGCCUUGAGCUUGCUUGUCCUCACCUGUAGCCACCCCCGCAGCUCGAUUCGCUUGUGCGGCCAUAGGGUGAACUUCGACGGUGGCUUGUUUGUCUCCUCGUACGCCUCCUCGGUCUCCUCCUAGGCUGGUAAUGGCGAUGGAGGGGUAGCAGGCCCAAGGUGUAGCUGCGCAAGGGAAGAGGUGAGAUCAUCAAGCUGCACGGUUUUGUUGCUGUCAAUAUCCGUGCAGGUGAUUUUGCCGUGGAUUUCUUCUCCCACAGCUGCUUUGAUCCAUCUUUAGUAUGAGGAUAGUGUAGUCGUUUUCUGCCUCAGCGCCGGCCAGACACAUCCUCCACAUCGGCAACAUUCUUCGAACUUUGAAGCGUGUUGCCCUACAGCAGAAAUAAGGAGGAGUUACAUGAACUGGGAACGAUUGGAUUGGACGUGGGGAGAGAAAAAGGAAAUGUUACCUCGCUGUUGGCGGGAAAGAGUAGUAAAGCUCCAACCUCAAUAUCGUCCUUGAUGAAGAGGUCGAAUUAUGGCCACUUACAGGGUAUGUGUAUGGUGUGUAUCUCAAGUCUCAACUCUCACAUGGUUGGUCUUCUAAUCUCCCUCUAGCCGGCUGACAGUGGGCAUGCACAACUCUAUUCACCCGACAUUGCUAGCGUGCAUGAAGGAUAGGCUUUGAGCCCAUCAAUCGUGUGUAACCUACUGAUCUGCUGAGUUGAGGUGCAUGGUAUAUGAUAAAAUGCCGAUCUGCUGAGUUGAGAUGCAUGAUGGAUAGCCACCGAGAUGUAGAUUAACCUUUUUUUUGAACAAACA